This 566-nucleotide long non-coding RNA is filed under the name Rattus norvegicus (Norway rat). RNAcentral's name for it is "long non-coding RNA NONRATT010207". The record is from RNAcentral. Lineage: Eukaryota; Metazoa; Chordata; Mammalia; Rodentia; Muridae.
UGCAGAUGAUUCCCAAUAUCAACCUCAGGGGCACACACAUACUCUGUCUCUUUCUCCACACACAUUAAGAGAAAAGGGUUGAGCUUAAGUCAUAAAUGAUUUUUCUUGAAGAUAUCGUUUCCUCCUUAAAAAUCAGCACCAACUCAUUCUUCAGCAUUUUCAUCUAGCCUCCAAAGGCACUGCUGCUCUUUAAUCCUUUUAAUUCCAAACUAGGAGGCUACAGACAUUAGGUUUCCCUAAGAACAUAUGAAAAUCAGACUUUUGGGAGAUAGUGUGAAGGUGGAAGGUGAUUUCACAGGUAUUUCAAUACUGCUCACAUGCCUACUUCUCCUUAGCCUUAUCUCACUGCACUGUCAUGCGGCUCUGUGCUUCACUGCAUGCCUAGUUUCCCCUACGGCAUUAACUUGCAGCUUGAAAUCUCCUAUUGAUUCUGAGCCAUCUCUUCCAAGCCUUCAUUUUUAUUUUAUUUUUUUACAAAGCAUUACUUCUUUCACCUCCCUUUCAUUAAAACCUGGCUCUUCCUUGCAUUGCUUUCUCUGUGGUGAUUCUAAAAAAAAAAAAAAAAA